GUCUCUCCGAGGAGGGGGUGUCGGUGUGAGGGUCUCUGUGGGGAGAGGGCGUUGGUCUGGUGGGCUCUUGUGAGGAGGGGGCAGCCGGCUGUGAGGGGUUGUGUGAGGAGGAGCCCUUGGUGUGAGGGGCUCUUGGGGAGGGGUCGUUGGUGUGAGGAGAGGGUAACCUAACCAGCUGUGAGGAGGGGUUUUGGCGUGAGGGGCAGUUUUAGGGGGAUAGGUGAGGGGUUGCUGAGGGAUAGGGGAACAGGAGAGAGCUGGCUGAGGGGAGUUGGGGACAGAGGGUUUGUGGAAGCCCCAUGUGGCAACACUGAGGGGUGAGAGGGGCCUGAGGGAGAAGAUGGUGGGGGGCUGCUGCUGAGGCCAUUUGAGCUCAGACAGCAUUUUGAGGGGCAGCAGGCCUGAGGGAGAAUGAAGAAAGGUGUGGAGUGGGCAGAGAGAUGAGGGGUCCAGCAAGGGAGUACAUGGGGCCAGGAUGUGUGUAGGGGAGCGGCCUGGCAUGGGUGGGAGCUUUUUGGGGGUAAUGUGGCAGAGGACAGUGGGUUUGGGGCAGGCUGGCCGUGGUGAGGCCAUGGAGCCAAGUGGAGCUGCCUCUUUGGCCAGGAGCAGCUCAUCUACAGGGGGUGACAAUCCUAGGAGGUGGUAGGUGACUGCUCUAUUGCAGCUGCCCUCACCAAAUGGGUGUGUUUCAGCCUGCCCUUGGCCGAGCUAUAUCUGGGUUGUGGCCAGAAGAGGGAAGAAAAAUCUCAUGGCUUGAGCACAUGGUCUCCUAAACUGUACCCUUGGCUCACAGUGGUGGGUGUUGAACUUGGUAGGUUGUUGAGCCUUUGUGUGCUUUGGUAUCUCCAUCUACGAAGCAGAGAUAACAGUUGGCUUCAUGCAGGGAUUAAUUAUCGCAUCUUGUAGUCACGUAUUUGUUUAUUUGUUUUUACUAUAGAUUACAGCUGGAGGAAUUCUAAACAGUCCACUUCUCCUUGUCAUGGUGUUUGAGCGCAUUGUGCUCCUGUCUGAACAGAGGAAAUCACUGAGGUAAUUCCUGUAUGUGGCAAAGUUGUCUGUGCCAGCCUGGAAGCUUUGUCCAAAAGCAGCAACAGUUACUGUCUCUUGGUUUCUCAGAGCUGCAGCUCCUCACUGGUUCCACAGAGCUGCUUUGUCACAAAGUGUCAGGAACUUUGUAGAAGUCACUGCAUCCUCUGCUGUGCUUGGGAUCAACUCUGGCAUCUGCCUGAAUGUCUGUAUGUCCCUCCUGCACAGACACUUACCUGAGACCAAGGCCUGGAUGAUGUUUGCAGACUAGGCUUACCUGUGCUGGAUGAUCUGAUGGAUUCACAUCAUGAUGUACUUGGGCAUAAGAGAUGGAAUCUCCAUAAAAGUGUUGUCCAUGCUGCAUUCAGCUGUGGGGAUGUUGCCUUAAAUGAUUGAUCUAGUGUUUGAAGUCCUAUUGCUUGAUUUACAUCUUGAUAUUUAGUAUCUUGGCAGACCUUUCUCUCACACAGUAAAGCAUAGCUGGGGUUUUAGUAGAAUUCUGCCCUUAGGUCAAGCUCAAACCUCAUUGCUCCUCCCUGCCUUCAGCUGGAAAUGGACAGCCACCAUUUGUGACUGAAUAUCCUGAGUCACCGAUUCCC
Molecule: non-coding RNA, 1625 nt
Organism: Zonotrichia albicollis (white-throated sparrow)
Lineage: Eukaryota; Metazoa; Chordata; Aves; Passeriformes; Passerellidae
Source: RefSeq, a predicted model, not a curated record